GCCCCAGUAACGGCGAGUGAAGCGGCAACAGCUCAAAUUUGAAAUCUGGAGUCGUUGUGGCUUCCGAGUUGUAAUUUGCAGAGGGAGCCUCGGAGGGCUGGUCGGUCCAAGUGCCUUGGAACAGGAUACCGCAGAGGGUGAGAGUCCCGUAUCCGGCCGACGCAGCGCUCCGUGUGAGGCCUCUUCGACGAGUCGAGUUGUUUGGGAAUGCAGCUCUAAGUGGGUGGUAAAUUCCAUCUAAAGCUAAAUACUGGCCAGAGACCGAUAGCGAACAAGUAGAGUGAUCGAAAGAUGAAAAGCACUUUGAAAAGAGAGUUAAACAGUACGUGAAAUUGUUGAAAGGGAAGCGCAUGGGGGCAGACUUGGACGCGGGGUUCAGGGUCACAGUUUUGAGGCCUGUACUUCCCCGCGGACAGGCCAGCAUCGGUUCUGGGGGCCGGACAAAGGCGAGGGGAACGUGGCUCUCUUCGGGGAGUGUUAUAGCCCUUUGCGCAAUGCGGCCACCUGGGACCGAGGACCGCGCUUCGGCAAGGAUGCUGGCGUAAUGGCCUCAUGCGGCCCGUCUUGAAACACGGACCAAGGAGUCUAACAUCUAUGCGAGUGUUUGGGUGGCAAGCCCGGACGCGCAAUGAAAGUGAACGGAGGUGGGAGCCCUUUUCUUGUGGAGGGGGUGCAGCAUCGACCGAUCCGGACGUUU
This 697-nucleotide ribosomal RNA is filed under the name Scolecobasidium constrictum. RNAcentral's name for it is "Ochroconis constricta partial large subunit ribosomal RNA". It matches the Rfam family "Eukaryotic large subunit ribosomal RNA", at positions 77 to 779 of the family's 3401-position model. Lineage: Eukaryota; Fungi; Ascomycota; Dothideomycetes; Venturiales; Sympoventuriaceae. The record is from RNAcentral.